ACGAACGCUGGCGGCGUGCUUAACCCAUGCAAGUCGCACGGAAAGGCCCUGCUUGCAGGGUACUCGAGUGGCGAACGGGUGAGUAACACGUGGGUGAUCUGCCCUGCACUUCGGGAUAAGCCUGGGAAACUGGGUCUAAUACCGGAUAGGAGCCAUUUUUAGUGUGAUGGUUGGAAAGUUUUUUUCGGUGUAGGAUGAGCUCGCGGCCUAUCAGCUUGUUGGUGGGGUAAUGGCCUACCAAGGCGGCGACGGGUAGCCGGCCUGAGAGGGUGGACGGCCACAUUGGGACUGAGAUACGGCCCAGACUCCUACGGGAGGCAGCAGUGGGGAAUAUUGCACAAUGGGCGCAAGCCUGAUGCAGCGACGCCGCGUGGGGGAUGACGGCCUUCGGGUUGUAAACUCCUUUCGCUAGGGACGAAGCUUUUUGUGACGGUACCUAGAUAAGAAGCACCGGCUAACUACGUG
This 465-nucleotide ribosomal RNA is filed under the name uncultured bacterium. RNAcentral's name for it is "partial 16S ribosomal RNA". It matches the Rfam family "Bacterial small subunit ribosomal RNA", at positions 29 to 507 of the family's 1533-position model. The record is from RNAcentral.